Molecule: long non-coding RNA, 237 nt
Filed under: Daucus carota (carrot)
Lineage: Eukaryota; Viridiplantae; Streptophyta; Magnoliopsida; Apiales; Apiaceae
Description: long non-coding RNA (DCAR_LNC004902)
Source: RNAcentral
UCUCAAAAUAGUAAAUUUUUAUAAUAUAAAAAUUUCACCCACCCACUACUUCUAUCUACUUUUUCAAAUCUAUCAAUUAAAUAUGCAUGAGUCCCACCACUUUACCUACUUUUCUUUCUCUUUCUCAUUACUUUACACUACUUUAUACAUUUUUCUUAGUUUCCGUGUCCAUUCCAAACGUAUACAUCCCAGAAGGACGGAGGAAAUAACACUUUAUCAGUAUGAAACUGUGCCGGA